GGGAGCGGUUCCCCGCCUGCCGCUCUCAUUGGCGCUCGAGUGCGCGCUUUCGCUGCCGACUGUUAAAAUCUUGUUUUGCGUUUUGUCAAUCCUCGACGGUGGGAGGCCAGCGAGGGUGCGGUUUCCGGAGUGAGGCCCUCCCCGCCGCCCCGCCUCCCUUUCUUGCGUCCGCGCUCGGGCGGGGUUGCUCGGGGAUCGGUGUCGGAAAGUGGCUGAGCCGCCUGCUCGCUGCUGCGCGCCUGGCCUUUCUGUUCGGAAUCGCCGCUCCACGGGCCUGGGGCCAGCCAGUUAAAAAAAAAAUCCACAGCUGGUGAAGAUUCCCACAGAAGAUGAAAAAUGGAUUUCCAGACCUGAGCCAGUUUGCAGACCUGAAACCCACUGACUGAAGAGGUCCCCAGGAGGAAGGACCCUGCUACACCUCAGCAAGUAUAAAUGGUAAUGAUUUCUCCAGUCCU
Molecule: long non-coding RNA, 455 nt
Organism: Lemur catta (Ring-tailed lemur)
Lineage: Eukaryota; Metazoa; Chordata; Mammalia; Primates; Lemuridae
Exons: 3
Source: RefSeq, a predicted model, not a curated record